RNAcentral lists this long non-coding RNA (962 nucleotides) under Aotus nancymaae (Ma's night monkey). Its description in RNAcentral is "lncRNA (ENSANAG00000039319.1)". Lineage: Eukaryota; Metazoa; Chordata; Mammalia; Primates; Aotidae. The record is from RNAcentral.
UUCUACCAAUCCUCCAUGUGCCUCAGGCUCGUCUCUCAUACAGGUCCCCUGGGGCAGGAUCACGGACUCUCAGGACCUCCUCAGCUUCCCUCCUUCCCACAGGCAUAUCCGCUGGCCUUCUGGGCACCAACAACAAUGAAGCAGGCAAUGACCUGAUGUUGCUGGAUGGCUCUGUGGCCACAGCCUGGAGGAGCUCAGCCUGGCCUGGCAGGUGGAUGGUGACUGUAGGGCCACUGAGAAGACUCAGCAGUCCUGCCCAGGACAGAGCCCUGCCUGCCCGGCCUUCUUCCAGGACCCCUGCUCCAGCUUGGGGAACUGCUUCUGGGUGCUCCUUGACAAGGGCAAGAUUCUUGGCUGGGACAGAAUAACCAGCAUGGAAUGCCUGGAAACUCAGAACCACAUUUGCUUCAAGUGCAGGGAAGAAGAGCUGUUUGCCAUUGCACUCAAAAUACUUCUAAGGACAUGAAACUCUCCCACUGGUCUGGGUAAUUCUCCCCCUUCCUCCACACUUCUACUGUAAACCAAGAGACAGUGUGGCCAGUGAGUCCCAGCCCCGCAGAGAGAGAUCUACCUGGCUCCUGUUCAUGCCCAAGGUGUUUAUUCACUUAUUCAACAGCCAUGUGGAAAGCCACCACUUUGGAACUCCAUGCAGAGGGGGACACGAAGCCAGGUUCUCAGCUGCCUGGUCCUGGCUUUCCCUGCCUGAUCCAGGGGUCUCCUGAGGCAGGAGGUUCUUUGAGGGGAACUGAUAGCUCUUCAGAAGCCCAGGUAGAUAGCUGCUGUCUUUAGUGUAGACACACUGGGACUGAAUGCUUAGGAGGUUCUCCGUUUUGGUAGGGGCACUUGUGAACUCGGGCCCCCAGGCUACAGCAUUCAAAGGUUUUUUUUUUUUUUACUUUCUUUUGGAACAUAACCUUUUCCUUUGAGUUUUCAACAGAAAAAUAAAGCUAGCAGAAUCCAAG